RNAcentral lists this ribosomal RNA (406 nucleotides) under uncultured bacterium. RNAcentral's name for it is "partial 16S ribosomal RNA". It matches the Rfam family "Bacterial small subunit ribosomal RNA", at positions 30 to 526 of the family's 1533-position model. The record is from RNAcentral.
AUUGAACGCUGGCGGCAGGCCUAACACAUGCAAGUCGAGCGAGUGGCGGACGGGUGAGUAAUGUAUGGGGAUCUGCCUGAUAGAGGGGGAUAACUACGGGAAACGGUGGCUAAUACCGCAUAAUAUCGGAUGAACCCAAAAGGGAUUAGCUAGUAGGUGGGGUAAAGGCUCACCCAGGCGACGAUCUCUAGCUGGUCUGAGAGGAUGAGCAGCCACACUGGGACUUAGACACGGCCCAGACUCCUACGGGAGGCAGCAGUGGGGAAUAUUGCACAAUGGGCGCAAGCCUGAUGCAGCCAUGCCGCGUGUAUGAAGAAGGCCUUAGGUUUGUAAAGUACUUUCAGCGGGGAGGCGUUACCCGCAGAAGAAGCACCGGCUAACUCCGUGCCAGCAGCCGCGGUAAUUC